UCAGGUUGAUAUUCCUGUACCACCUCCUCACCAUUUGAGCAAUGGGGGGACGCAGGAGGAUAGGGUAAGCGCGGUAUUGGAUAUCCGCGUCCAAGCAGUUAGGCUGGGAAAUAGGCAAAUCCGUUUCCCAUAAGGCUGAGCUGUGAUGGCGAGCGAAAUAUAGUAGCGAAGUUCCUGAUUCCACACUGCCAAGAAAAGCCUCUAGCGAGGUGAGAGGUGCCCGUACCGCAAACCGUCACAGGUAGGCGAGGAGAGAAUCCUAAGGUGAUCGAGAGAACUCUCGUUAAGGAACUCGGCAAAAUGACCCCGUAACUUCGGGAGAAGGGGUGCUCUGUUAGGGUGCAAGCCCGAGAGAGCCGCAGUGAAUAGGCCCAGGCGACUGUUUAGCAAAAACACAGGUCUCUGCGAAGCCGUAAGGCGAAGUAUAGGGGCUGACGCCUGCCCGGUGCUGGAAGGUUAAGAGGAGCGCUUAGCGUAAGCGAAGGUGCGAAUUGAAGCCCCAGUAAACGGCGGCCGUAACGAUAACGGUCCUAAGGUAGCGAAAUUCCUUGUCGGGUAAGUUCCGACCCGCACGAAAGGCGCAACGAUCUGGGCACUGUCUCAACGAGAGACUCGGUGAAAUUAUAGUACCUGUGAAGAUGCAGGUUACCCGCGACAGGACGGAAAGACCCCGUGGAGCUUUACUGCAGCCUGAUAUUGAAUGUUGGUACAGCUUGUACAGGAUAGGUAGGAGCCUUGGAAACCGGAGCGCCAGCUUCGGUGGAGGCAUCGGUGGGAUACUACCCUGGCUGUAUUGACCUUCUAACCCGCCGCCCUUAUCGGGCGGGGAGACAGUGUCAGGUGGGCAGUUUGACUGGGGCGGUCGCCUCCUAAAAGGUAACGGAGGCGCCCAAAGGUUCCCUCAGAAUGGUUGGAAAUCAUUCGCAGAGUGUAAAGGCACAAGGGAGCUUGACUGCGAGACCUACAAGUCGAGCAGGGACGAAAGUCGGGCUUAGUGAUCCGGUGGUUCCGCAUGGAAGGGCCAUCGCUCAACGGAUAAAAGCUACCCCGGGGAUAACAGGCUUAUCUCCCCCAAGAGUCCACAUCGACGGGGAGGUUUGGCACCUCGAUGUCGGCUCAUCGCAUCCUGGGGCUGUAGUCGGUCCCAAGGGUUGGGCUGUUCGCCCAUUAAAGCGGUACGCGAGCUGGGUUCAGAACGUCGUGAGACAGUUCGGUCCCUAUCCGUCGCGGGCGCAGGAAAUUUGAGAGGAGCUGUCCUUAGUACGAGAGGACCGGGAUGGACGCACCGCUGGUGUACCAGUUGUUCUGCCAAGGGCAUCGCUGGGUAGCUAUGUGCGGACGGGAUAAGUGCUGAAAGCAUCUAAGCAUGAAGCCCCCCUCAAGAUGAGAUUUCCCAUUCCGCAAGGAAGUAAGAUCCCUGAAAGAUGAUCAGGUUGAUAGGUCUGAGGUGGAAGUGUGGCAACACAUGGAGCUGACAGAUACUAAUCGAUCGAGGACUUAACC
This 1503-nucleotide ribosomal RNA is filed under the name metagenome. Its description in RNAcentral is "bacterial LSU rRNA". It matches the Rfam family "Bacterial large subunit ribosomal RNA", at positions 1425 to 2925 of the family's 2925-position model. The record is from RNAcentral.